Molecule: transfer RNA, 71 nt
Filed under: Stegodyphus mimosarum
Lineage: Eukaryota; Metazoa; Arthropoda; Arachnida; Araneae; Eresidae
Rfam family: tRNA
About the family: Transfer RNA (tRNA) molecules are approximately 80 nucleotides in length. Their secondary structure includes four short double-helical elements and three loops (D, anti-codon, and T loops). Further hydrogen bonds mediate the characteristic L-shaped molecular structure. tRNAs have two regions of fundamental functional importance: the anti-codon, which is responsible for specific mRNA codon recognition, and the 3' end, to which the tRNAs corresponding amino acid is attached (by aminoacyl-tRNA synthetases). tRNAs cope with the degeneracy of the genetic code in two manners: having more than one tRNA (with a specific anti-codon) for a particular amino acid; and 'wobble' base-pairing, i.e. permitting non-standard base-pairing at the 3rd anti-codon position.
Source: Rfam by way of RNAcentral
GCCUUCAUGGUGUAACGGUAGCACACUCGGCGUGUAUUCGAGAGGUCCAGGUUCGAAUCCUGGUGAAGUCA